This is a small nucleolar RNA of Anopheles funestus (African malaria mosquito), 202 nucleotides long. RefSeq annotates it as small nucleolar RNA U3. The transcript has a single exon. The record is from RefSeq and is a predicted model, not a curated record. NCBI's taxonomy places the organism in Eukaryota, Metazoa, Arthropoda, Insecta, Diptera, Culicidae.
AAGACUGUGCUUCAUAGGAUCAUUUCUAUAGGCCAGUUUUCAUCUCUUGUUGACCGAACCUUGAGUUCGUUCUACCCACGAUGAUGAGGUCAAGUGUUUACCCCGGAGCGUGAAACUGUCGGAUCUCGGCUGCGUCUCUGACGUGUCGAUCUGUACUUGAUGAUCGUAUCUUACAACGGGGGUCAAACACAGUCUGAGUGGA